UCGACCGACGAACACACCUAACCGUUGCCUUUGACUCCACUACCUCCUAUUACGGGACGCCAACGGAAAUGACUUCUUAAUCGAUAUUCGUUGAUCCCUCCUCGCGAUCGGAUACUCCUCGAUUCUUUUGGCGACGCAAGCGGAAUAACGUUUACAACGACGUUCGAAUGGAAAAGAUUUGGACAAUUGGAAAUUACGGAAAAUUAUUCUUCCGUGUCCGUGGAAUUCAAAUAUCUUACUUUGUAAUCUGAUGCACAAAUGAAAUAGUAUUGUGUAUUCUGUUGGUCCUCGCUUGCUGAAGAAAAGGAAGUUCUAUGUUCAUUUACAGCGUUCGAAGUCAUUAUCUUCACAGAGGAAAAGAAGACUGACAAGAUAUAUUACUGCUGAAACAGCAAUAACGGUAUGAAUGGCAGAGGAAUCAUUAAAAAAGACGUUGGAGAAGAAAUUCAUAAACGAACAACGCGAAGAAUAUUAAAGGAAGCUAAUUUUAAAAGUUGAACAAAUAAAGUCCGCUUCUCCGUAAAAUAUUGAAGCUCAUUUGAUUCUUAUGAAAGUACUCAUCAGGUUCAAAAAGAAAAGGUAAAUUUUUAGUAACUUGAUAUAUUAAAACUGUCGCACAUCAUGAUUAUAAUGUGGAGUGUAUUAUAUAGUCUGGAGCUAAUGUAAAAUAAUUCAGUACAUGCUGUUACUGGACUAUAAAUUUCAACAUGUCAAUGACUCAAUGGGUACUAUGAAAACUAUGAAAAUUUAAUGACACUGUCAAUCGUUCGUAGGAAGCUACCUAUUUAUGGCACAUGUUUAUUUAUGUUUAUUUAUGUUUACCUUAUAUCGAAUAAUAUUGAAUAUUAAAAAUAACAUUAAAUGUCAAAGUAUACACGCUUUAUAAAAAGUAGUGGUACUAGUAAGGGAAAAGGUCAGUAGUAAUUAAAAUCAAUGUAACGAAAAAUACAGUCGGUAGAAAA
Nomia melanderi (Alkali bee) is the source of this 962-nucleotide non-coding RNA. NCBI's taxonomy places the organism in Eukaryota, Metazoa, Arthropoda, Insecta, Hymenoptera, Halictidae. The record is from RefSeq and is a predicted model, not a curated record.